This 410-nucleotide ribosomal RNA is filed under the name uncultured organism. Its description in RNAcentral is "bacterial SSU rRNA". It matches the Rfam family "Bacterial small subunit ribosomal RNA", at positions 355 to 775 of the family's 1533-position model. The record is from RNAcentral.
UCGAGAAUCUUCGGCAAUGGGCGCAAGCCUGACCGAGCGACGCCGCGUGCGGGAUGAAGGCCCUUGGGUUGUAAGCCGCUGUCAGGGGGGAGCAAGGCGUAAGCUUGAGCGAGCCCCAGAGGAAGCACGGGCUAAGUUCGUGCCAGCAGCCGCGGUAAUACGAACUGUGCGAACGUUAUUCGGAAUCACUGGGCUUACAGGGUGCGUAGGCGGCCUAUCAAGUCAGGUGUGAAAUCCCACAGCUCAACUGUGGAACUGCGCUUGAAACUGAUGGGCUUGAGUCAACUAGAGGUACACGGAACUUCCGGUGGAGCGGUGAAAUGUGUUGAUAUCGGAAGGAACACCAGAGGCGAAAGCGGUGUACUGGAGUUGGUCUGACGCUGAGGCACGAAAGCCAGGGGAGCGAACGG